CACGUAUUUAGCCGGGGCUUCCUCCUAUGAUACCGUCAUUAUCUUCUCAUAGGACAGAGCUUUACGAUUCGAAAACCUUCUUCGCUCACGCGGCGUCGCUGCAUCAGGGUUCCCCCCAUUGUGCAAUAUUCCCCACUGCUGCCUCCCGUAGGAGUUUGGAGCGUGUCUCAGUUCCAAUGUGGCCGUUCAUCCUCUCAGACCGGCUACUGAUCGUCGCCUUGGUAGGCCCUUUACCCUUCCAACUAGCUAAUCAGACGCGAGCCCUUCUUACACCGAUAAAUCUUUGACCCCUAUAUCAUGCGAUUCUGUGGUCUCUAUGCGGUAUUAAUCGUCGUUUACCAACGGCUACUCCCCCUGUGUAAGGUAGGUUGCUCACGUGUUACUCUACCCGUUCGCCUACUUCAUUUCUAUUCCAUUCCCGAAAAGUAAUUUACCACAAAAACU
RNAcentral lists this ribosomal RNA (444 nucleotides) under uncultured Parvimonas sp. RNAcentral's name for it is "partial 16S ribosomal RNA". The record is from RNAcentral. Lineage: Bacteria; Bacillati; Bacillota; Tissierellia; Tissierellales; Peptoniphilaceae.